UCUCCGUGGGUGAACCUGCGGAGGGAUCAUUACAGAGUUCAUGCCCUUACGGGUAGAUCUCCCACCCUAUGUUAUUAUUACUUUGUUGCUUUGGCGGGCCGCGAGGCUUCGGCCUGGCUACCGGCUCCGGCUGGUAAGCGCCCGCCAGAGGACCCCCAAACCCUGAAUGUCAGUGUCGUCUGAGUACUAUAUAAUAGUUAAAACUUUCAACAACGGAUCUCUUGGUUCUG
RNAcentral lists this unclassified non-coding RNA (230 nucleotides) under plant metagenome. RNAcentral describes it as "partial contains small subunit ribosomal RNA, internal transcribed spacer 1, and 5.8S ribosomal RNA". The record is from RNAcentral.